Long non-coding RNA from Sphaeramia orbicularis (orbiculate cardinalfish), 560 nucleotides. RefSeq lists it as uncharacterized. NCBI's taxonomy places the organism in Eukaryota, Metazoa, Chordata, Actinopteri, Kurtiformes, Apogonidae. The transcript has 2 exons. The record is from RefSeq and is a predicted model, not a curated record.
GACAGGAGAACGUUAGGUUAACGACAGGAGAACGUUAGGUUAACGACAGGAGAACGUUAGUUUAACGACAGGAGAAUGUUAGGUUAACGACAGGAGAACGUUAGGUUAACGAGAGGAGAACAUUAGCUUAAUGACAGGAGAACAUCAGUUUAUCGACAGGAGAACAUCAGUUUAACGACAGGAGAACGUUAGCUUAACGACAGGAGAAUGUUAUCUUAACAACAGGAGAACAUCAGUUUAACGACAGGAGAACGUUAGGUUAACGACAGGAGAAUGUUAGGUUAACGAGAGGAGAACAUUAGCUUAACGAAUGGAGAACAUCAGUUUAUCAACAGGAGAACAUCAGUUUAACGACAGGAGAACGUUAGGUUAACGACAGGAGAACGUUAGGUUAACGACAGGAGAACGUUAAGUUAACGAGAGGAGAACAGUAGUUUAAUGACAGGAGAACAUCAGUUUAUCGACAGGAGAAUAUCAGUUUAACGACAGGAGAACGUUAGCUUAACGACAGGAGAAGGUUAGGUUAACGACAGGAGAACGUUAGGUUAACGACAGGAGAA